This 1434-nucleotide ribosomal RNA is filed under the name Acinetobacter calcoaceticus. RNAcentral describes it as "16S ribosomal RNA". It matches the Rfam family "Bacterial small subunit ribosomal RNA". Lineage: Bacteria; Pseudomonadati; Pseudomonadota; Gammaproteobacteria; Moraxellales; Moraxellaceae. The record is from RNAcentral.
AGAGUUUGAUCUGGCUCAGAUUGAACGCUGGCGGCAGGCUUAACACAUGCGAGCGGAGAGAGGUAGCUUGCUACUGAUCUUAGUGUACGCGGCGGACGGGUGAGUAAUGCUUAGGAAUCUAUUAGUGGGGGACAACAUUUCGAAAGGAAUGCUAAUACCGCAUACCUACGGGAGAAAGCAGGGGAUCUUCGGACCUUGCGCUAAUAGAUGAGCCUAAGUCGGAUUAGUUGUACCUAGUUGGUGGGGUAAAGGCCUACCAAGGCGACGAUCUGUAGCGGGUCUGAGAGGAUGAUCCGCCACACCUGAGAUUGUCCACGGCCCAGACUCCUACGGGAGGCAGCAGUGGGGAAUAUUGGACAAUGGGCGCAAGCCUGAUCCAGCCAUGCCGCGUGUGUGAAGAAGGCCUUAUGGUUGUAAAGCACUUUAAGCGAGGAGGAGGCUACUGAAGUUAAUACCAAUGCUGAUAGUGGACGUUACUCGCAGAAUAAGCACUAACUCUGUGCCAGCAGCCGCGGUAAUACAGAGGGUGCAAGCGUUAAUCGGAUUUACUGGGCGUAAAGCGCGCGUAGGCGGCUAAUUAAGUCAAAUGUGAAAUCCCCGAUGAUCACUUGGGAAUUGCAUUCGAUACUGGUUAGCUAGAGUGUGGGAGGAUGGUAGAAUUCCAGGUGUAGCAAAUGCGUAGAGAUCUGGAUCUGGAGGAAUACCGAUGGCGAAGGCAGCCAUCUGGCCUAACACUGACGCUGAGGUGCGAAAGCAUGGGGAGCAAACAGGAUUAGAUACCCUGGUAGUCCAUGCCGUAAACGAUGUCUACUAGCCGUUGGGGCCUUUGAGGCUUUAGUGGCGCAGCUAACGCGAUAAGUUGUACGUAGACCGCCUGGGGAGUACGCAAGACUAAAACUCAAAUGAAUUGACGGGGGCCCGCACAAGCGGUGGAGCAUGUGGUUUAAUUCGAUGCAACGCGAAGAACCUUACCUGGCCUUGACAUAGUAAGAACUUUCCAGAGAUGGAUUGGUGCCUUCGGGAACUUACAUACAGGUGCUGCAUGGCUGUCGUCAGCUCGUGUCGUGAGAUGUUGGGUUAAGUCCCGCAACGAGCGCAACCCUUUUCCUUAUUUGCCAGCGAGUAAUGUCGGGAACUUUAAGGAUACUGCCAGUGAUUGAUCCUGGAGGAAGGCGGGGACGACGUCAAGUCAUCAUGGCCCUUACGGCCAGGGCUACACACGUGCUACAAUGGUCGGUACAAAGGGUUGCUAAUGCCGUACCUAGCGAUAGGAUGCUAAUCUCAAAAAGCCGAUCGUAGUCCGGAUUGGAGUCUGCAACUCGACUCCAUGAAGUCGGAAUCGCUAGUAAUCGCGGAUCAGAAUGCCGCGGUACGUUCCCGGGCCUUGUACACACCGCCCGUCACACGAGUUUGUUGCACCAAGUAGCUAGCCUA